GUCGGANCUUGCCCGGUGAAAUUUUUUAACGGCCGCGGUACUCUGACCGUGCAAAGGUAGCAUAAUCAUUUGCCUUAUAAUUGAAGGCUGGUAUGAAUGGUUUGACAAGAAUACAACUGUCUCUUUACAAUUUGGUAGAAUUUUAUAUUUAGGUGAAAAAGCCUUAAUUUAAUUAAAAGACAAGAAGACCCUAUCGAGCUUAAAAGAAAUUAAUAGGUAUAACAUUUUUAGUUUUUAGAAAUAUAGAGCUAUUAAACAUUUUGGUUGGGGCGACUGAGGAACAUGUAAAGCUUCCUUUUAUAGCUUUUGAUAUACAAAUUAUUGAUCCAUAGUUAAUGAUUAAAGGAAUGAGUUACCGUAGGGAUAACAGCAUAAUCUUUUUUGAGAGUUCUAAUCGAAAAAAGGGUUUGUGACCUCGAUGUUGGACCAGAAUAUCCUAAAGAUGUAGAAGUCUUUGAGGGUUGGUCUGUUCGACCAUUAAAAUUCUA
Molecule: ribosomal RNA, 488 nt
Filed under: Myurella sp. MNHN IM 2013-14116
Lineage: Eukaryota; Metazoa; Mollusca; Gastropoda; Neogastropoda; Terebridae
Description: partial 16S ribosomal RNA
Rfam family: Bacterial large subunit ribosomal RNA
Source: RNAcentral